GGAGAGAUGUCCGAGUGGUUUAAGGAGCACGCUUGGAAAGCGUGUGUGGGGGAGACUCCACCGUGGGUUCGAAUCCCACUCUCUCCG
RNAcentral lists this transfer RNA (87 nucleotides) under Acidobacteriota bacterium. Its description in RNAcentral is "Acidobacteria bacterium (sediment metagenome) tRNA-Ser". It matches the Rfam family "tRNA". Rfam says of the family: Transfer RNA (tRNA) molecules are approximately 80 nucleotides in length. Lineage: Bacteria; Pseudomonadati; Acidobacteriota. The record is from RNAcentral.